RNAcentral lists this ribosomal RNA (451 nucleotides) under Veillonella parvula. RNAcentral's name for it is "bacterial SSU rRNA". It matches the Rfam family "Bacterial small subunit ribosomal RNA", at positions 28 to 455 of the family's 1533-position model. Lineage: Bacteria; Bacillati; Bacillota; Negativicutes; Veillonellales; Veillonellaceae. The record is from RNAcentral.
GACGAACGCUGGCGGCGUGCUUAACACAUGCAAGUCGAACGAAGAGCGAUGGAAGCUUGCUUCUAUCAAUCUUAGUGGCGAACGGGUGAGUAACGCGUAAUCAACCUGCCCUUCAGAGGGGGACAACAGUUGGAAACGACUGCUAAUACCGCAUACGAUCUAACCUCGGCAUCGAGGAAAGAUGAAAGGUGGCCUCUAUUUAUAAGCUAUCACUGAAGGAGGGGAUUGCGUCUGAUUAGCUAGUUGGAGGGGUAACGGCCCACCAAGGCGAUGAUCAGUAGCCGGUCUGAGAGGAUGAACGGCCACAUUGGGACUGAGACACGGCCCAGACUCCUACGGGAGGCAGCAGUGGGGAAUCUUCCGCAAUGGACGAAAGUCUGACGGAGCAACGCCGCGUGAGUGAUGACGGCCUUCGGGUUGUAAAAGCUCUGUUAAUCGGGACGAAAAGGCC